GUUGUUGCGGUUAAAAAGCUCGUAGUUGGAUUUCUGUUGAGGUUGGGUGGUCCCUUCUCCGAAGGCGUAUUUGCUUCGAUCUCGGCAUCCUUCUGAAAGACUGUGCUGCCCUUCAUUGAGUGGUCAGGAUUUCAGGACUUUUACUUUGAGGAAAUUAGAGUGUUUACGGCAGGCAGGCGCCUUGAAUAUAUUAGCAUGGAAUAAUGAUAUAAGACCUUGGUUUUAUUUUGUUGGUUUCUAAAGCUAAGGUAAUGAUUAACAGGGAUAUUUGGGGGUAUUUGUAUUACACGGUCAGAGGUGGAAUUCUUGGAUUCGUGUACGACAAACUACUGCGAAAGCAUUUACCAAGGAUGUUUUCAUUGAUCAAGAACGAAAGUGUGGGGAUCGAAGAUGAUUAGAUACCGUCGUAGUCUACACCAUAAACUAUGCCGACUAGAGAUUGGAGGUUGUCUUCUUAUAACUCCUUCAGCACCUUUCGAGAAAUCAAAGUUUUUGGGUUCCGGGGGGAGUAUGGUCGCAAGGCUGGAACUUAAAGGAAUUGACGGAAGGGCACCACCAGGAGUGGAGCCUGCGGCUUAAUUUGACUCAACACGGGAAAACUUACCAGGUCCAGACAUAACGAGGAUUGACAGAUUGAUAGCUCUUUCUUGAUUUUAUGGGUGGUGGUGCAUGGCCGUUCUUAGUUGGUGGAGUGAUUAGUCUGGUUAAUUCCGUUAACGA
This 720-nucleotide ribosomal RNA is filed under the name uncultured marine alveolate. RNAcentral's name for it is "SSU rRNA". It matches the Rfam family "Eukaryotic small subunit ribosomal RNA", at positions 609 to 1334 of the family's 1831-position model. The record is from RNAcentral.